UACAGAGGGUGCGAGCGUUAAUCGGAAUUACUGGGCGUAAAGCGCACGUAGGUGGCGACGUAAGUCGGGUGUGAAAGCCCCGGGCUCAACCUGGGAAUUGCAUUCGAGACUGCAUUGCUGGAGUACGGAAGAGGAAGGCGGAAUUCCCGGUGUAGCGGUGAAAUGCGUAGAUAUCGAGAGGAACACCUGCGGCGAAGGCGGGUUGCUGGGCCGACACUGACGCUGAUGCGCGAAAGCCAGGGGAGCGAACGGG
RNAcentral lists this ribosomal RNA (253 nucleotides) under uncultured bacterium. RNAcentral describes it as "partial 16S ribosomal RNA". It matches the Rfam family "Bacterial small subunit ribosomal RNA", at positions 524 to 776 of the family's 1533-position model. The record is from RNAcentral.